Molecule: non-coding RNA, 91 nt
Filed under: unclassified sequences
Description: c-di-GMP sequence
Rfam family: c-di-GMP-II-GAG riboswitch aptamer
Source: Rfam by way of RNAcentral
ACAACGGUAGAGGCUUAGAUGCCCGCCCCGUAAAAGAGCGUGGCACCCACGGGGGUGGGCGGAGUCAGUGGUGCGACCGGCUACCCCCAGG